This 301-nucleotide long non-coding RNA is filed under the name Ananas comosus (pineapple). Its description in RNAcentral is "long non-coding RNA (ACOM_LNC017570)". Lineage: Eukaryota; Viridiplantae; Streptophyta; Magnoliopsida; Poales; Bromeliaceae. The record is from RNAcentral.
AGUUUAUUGGAAAUAACUAAAAUAUUCUAAAAUCAUAAUAGAACUAGGCUAAAAUAUUAUUAAUUGCACCAAGUCAUUGGUGCUGUUAGGUUUUCUGCCCUUGGAUAAAGGAGUGUGCAGUUAGGAUGAUAGUGGUCCCCUAGGAUUUAGGGGGUGGUUGGUGGCAUAAUAUAAUCUAAAGGAUGAAAAUGAUCAGAGGGGUAGAUCUAAUGGCGGAAACUUGGUAGCACCAAGUGAUUGCUAUUAUUAAUAGCAUUGUAGCCGGACUCAUAAUAAUAUAUCUUUCCAUAAUUAGAAAAUU